Molecule: transfer RNA, 57 nt
Filed under: Ictidomys tridecemlineatus (thirteen-lined ground squirrel)
Lineage: Eukaryota; Metazoa; Chordata; Mammalia; Rodentia; Sciuridae
Description: Spermophilus tridecemlineatus (thirteen-lined ground squirrel) tRNA
Rfam family: tRNA
About the family: Transfer RNA (tRNA) molecules are approximately 80 nucleotides in length. Their secondary structure includes four short double-helical elements and three loops (D, anti-codon, and T loops).
Source: Rfam by way of RNAcentral
AGCUCAUUUGGUAGGGUGUCUGCCUCUCAUGCACAAGGCCCUGGGUUCAAUCCCCAG